Molecule: long non-coding RNA, 325 nt
Filed under: Elaeis guineensis (African oil palm)
Lineage: Eukaryota; Viridiplantae; Streptophyta; Magnoliopsida; Arecales; Arecaceae
Description: long non-coding RNA (EGUI_LNC032031)
Source: RNAcentral
UUGGCUAGGAAGCAAACAACGGUGAAACCACAAAUAAAAUGCCAAGAGUUCGGCACAACUAAACUCAAGGAUAUGUCAAAAAAAUAGAAAAGUUGAACAAAGAAUGGAUGGAGAGGGAGUCUCAAAUCGGCUCGAAAGCAUUCUUCAUAAAGGCCAAGCCAGUCUGUUGGAGGGUCACAGAUCUGAUUAUUUGAACUUGGGACUUCCAACCUAUGCUCAUGAGGGACCUAAAAUUGAGAUAUGAUCAUAUUAAGGUCUCACUCCUCUAGUAUAGAUCAGAAGCACCAAGGGACAAAAGGCUCCUUUGGCUCCUACUCGCUACCCC